Molecule: unclassified non-coding RNA, 265 nt
Filed under: fungal sp.
Lineage: Eukaryota; Fungi
Description: partial internal transcribed spacer region
Rfam family: Eukaryotic small subunit ribosomal RNA (bases 1-46)
Source: RNAcentral
AAGUCGUAACAAGGUUUCCGUAGGUGAACCUGCGGAAGGAUCAUUACAGAAUUGAAAUCGACCGACCCUGUUGAAGCGUGGGCUGGUCUCGAGCGAGUGAGCGAGCGAGUGAGUGAGUGAGCGAGUGAGCUUGCUAGCUAGCUUGUUUGCUAGCUUGCUUGUUUGCUUGCUUGCUCGAGACAAGCAAAAACAAAACAAUUGAUGAAUGUACCAGUGAAUAUGAAAAAAAGAAAAACAACUUUUAACAAUGGAUCUCUUGGCUCUU